ACCAGGGGUUAGCUCAGUUGGUAGAGCGCUCACUGGAGAUGGAAAGGUCCCGGGUUCGAUACCCGACCAGGCA
Molecule: transfer RNA, 73 nt
Filed under: Ixodes scapularis (black-legged tick)
Lineage: Eukaryota; Metazoa; Arthropoda; Arachnida; Ixodida; Ixodidae
Description: tRNA-Ser
Source: RNAcentral